Molecule: transfer RNA, 88 nt
Filed under: Macroventuria anomochaeta
Lineage: Eukaryota; Fungi; Ascomycota; Dothideomycetes; Pleosporales; Didymellaceae
Description: tRNA-Gly
Rfam family: tRNA
About the family: Transfer RNA (tRNA) molecules are approximately 80 nucleotides in length. Their secondary structure includes four short double-helical elements and three loops (D, anti-codon, and T loops). Further hydrogen bonds mediate the characteristic L-shaped molecular structure. tRNAs have two regions of fundamental functional importance: the anti-codon, which is responsible for specific mRNA codon recognition, and the 3' end, to which the tRNAs corresponding amino acid is attached (by aminoacyl-tRNA synthetases). tRNAs cope with the degeneracy of the genetic code in two manners: having more than one tRNA (with a specific anti-codon) for a particular amino acid; and 'wobble' base-pairing, i.e. permitting non-standard base-pairing at the 3rd anti-codon position.
Source: RNAcentral
GCAUCGGUGGUUUAGUGGUAAAAUUAGCCGUUGCCAAGCUUCAUAGCUCAGUUUCGGCUAGCCCCGGGUUCGAUUCCCGGCCGAUGCA